UGAAUACGAGACGCUACGGCGUCGAAGCAGUCUAUGUCAUACUUCCAAGAAAAGCUUGCACUGUCAUAAACAAAUAAUGCCUGUACCAUAACCGACACAGGUGGGUAGGUAGAGUAUACUAAGGGGCGCGAGAUAACUCUCUCUAAGGAACUCGGCAAAAUGACUCCGUAACUUCGGGAGAAGGAGUGCCUUAUUUAUAAGGUUGCAAUAACAAGAUCCAAGCAACUGUUUAUCAAAAACACAGGUCUCCGCUAAGUCGUAAGACGAUGUAUGGGGGCUGACGCCUGCCCAGUGCCAGAAGGUUAAAGAAGUUGGUUAGCAUUAGCGAAGCUGAUAACUGAAGCCCUGGUGAACGGCGGCCGUAACGAUAACGGUCCUAAGGUAGCGAAAUUCCUUGUCGGGUAAGUUCCGACCCGCGCGAAAGGCGUAAUGAUUUGGAUACUGUCUCAGAGAGGGGCUCGGUGAAAUAGACUUGUCUGUGAAGAUGCGGACUACCUGCACCAGGACAGAAAGACCCUAUGAAGCUUUACUGUAACUUGAAAUUGAAAUUGGACUUUAUUUGCGCAGUAUAGGUGGGAGGCAUUGAUAAUAUUCUUGCGGGAAUGUUGGAGCCAUCAGUGAGAUACCACUCUUGUAAUGUUAGAUUUCUAACUUUGGAUCAUUAUCUGGUCAAAGGACAGUUUCAGGCGGGCAGUUUGACUGGGGCGGUCGCCUCCUAAAUGGUAACGGAGGCGCACAAAGGUUUCCUCUGAACGGGUAGAAAUCGUAUCUAGAGUGUAAAGGCAUAAGGAAGCUUGACUGUGAGACCUACAAGUCGAGCAGGGACGAAAGUCGGUCUUAGUGAUCUGACGGUGCUGAGUGGAAAGGCCGUCACUCAACGGAUAAAAGUUACUCUAGGAUAACAGGCUGAUCUCCCCCAAGAGUUCACAUCGACGGGGAGGUUUGGCACCUCGAUGUCGGCUCAUCGCAUCCUGGGGCGGUAGUACGUCCCAAGGGUUGGGCUGUUCGCCCAUGAAAGCGGUACGCGAGCUGGGUUCAGAACGUCGUGAGACAGUUCGGUCCAUAUCCGGUGUAGGCGUUAGAAUAUUGAGAGGAGCCUUCUUUAGUACGAGAGGACCGAGAAGGACAUACCUCUGGUGUACCAGUUAUCGUGCCAACGGUAAACGCUGGGUAGCUAUGUAUGGAGAGGAUAACCGCUGAAAGCAUCUAAGUGGGAAGCCCACCUCAAGAUAAGUAUAC
Molecule: ribosomal RNA, 1239 nt
Filed under: metagenome
Description: bacterial LSU rRNA
Rfam family: Bacterial large subunit ribosomal RNA
Source: RNAcentral